Molecule: long non-coding RNA, 279 nt
Filed under: Linum usitatissimum (flax)
Lineage: Eukaryota; Viridiplantae; Streptophyta; Magnoliopsida; Malpighiales; Linaceae
Description: long non-coding RNA (LUSI_LNC003968)
Source: RNAcentral
CCUACUCAUAAAAUCUUCAAUAGUGCAUGGAGAUGUGAUAACCACCGCCAUCUCGUCACCAAUGCCGUCUCGUCAUAGCCGUCAUCAUCAUCGCUCUAUGGAAACUUAGAGAAUCGAGUAGCAGUCUUGGACAGUGAAUUUAUCAAUCUUUUCCAGCCUUAUGGUACCACUUCAAGCGAAUUAGGGUUCCUAGACAUGAUCAGAAGAAUCAUAAAAAAUGCUGGAAUGUUUAUGGAUACUGAAAAAAAGGGAAGUGCAAUGAGAACCCUUGUAGAUUCG